GUGUGAGGUGGUGCUAUGUAGCAGGAACCCCUCUUGCUUUGCAAAUAGUUUUUUGUUUGUUUUCCUUUUUGCCCAAUAGAGCCCUGCUCUACUGACCCUUCAAUGUGCCCGUGUGCCUAAAUAUUCCUGGUCGUGUGAAAAGAACCCAGGUAUUAGCUGAACUAAGGAGCACAAUUCUGCAACAUUUUGGCACCCAAACACGGGGCUUGAGAAAUGAAUGCAAUUGGAGAAACUGGUUGUUUUACCAGGCGUUGAUUGGAAAUGUGUGCUUCCCUUUAAGCAGUCAAGCUCAACUUGCAGAACUGAUGGGAACCCCUUGGGAAAACUGGCCUCAAAUGUUUGUCUACACAGUCCACAUACAGGGUUCUUAACCUGCGACUGACCCUGCUUGUGCCUGUGAACCAACCAACAAUCUCUGGCUGCAGCUCAGAAAGGACAAAAGAGAAUGGGUAGGUAAUGGUGUCCCAUACCACAGAACACUUCCCUCAGAUGCAUCCUUCUAACUGGGAGGAGUUAAUUUCUCAAACCGUAGACUAAUUGGCUUAGGAUUAGGUUCAGGGGAAGGGAACACAGAAACAUGACAUGCCAGCAAAAGGGUAAAAGGUUUUUUUUCCCCGUUGGGCUUUUGGCCUCUCUCUCCCUGUGCAAACUGGUAAAAGGCGUCUGGAUUUUCUAGUUGUCCUUACCCACUGCUUGUUUCGUUUUGAUACAUAUUUUCUAAUAACCUGUUUGUCUCUUCUCACUUUUAGGCCAUCAAACUCCAGUCUGCACCUGGAGCCUUGGAUGAUGGCCUUUUUUACUGGGAACCCUGAAAUAGGCCUCUGAGGGAAAUCUGAUUGCCAUUUUCCCAAAACAGCUUCCCUGACAAUAGGAAGCAAUUAAGAUUGGUCUUCAUCCUUAUCUUUAUCCUUAUUCUAAUGGCAGUUAGAGGUACUUCUUUAGAGGGGGGAAUGAGACAGCCAAAUGCCUAGGCAGAUAAAAAGGUGUACCUGGAAAAUUUCCAACCCGUCACACAAGUGUUUACAUCAGAUGCUUUUGUGUAGAUGAGGGAAACUUCCCAGGGCUUGUCUGGGUAUGCCCACAGUGGACUGGAGCCCAAAAUGCACACUGGAGGAAGUGGAUGGAGCCACGUGGAUGUCAUGCCUUAUGCAGGGGAGGAGCCUGCUCUCUUCAGCUCCUGUGGUAAUGUGGGAAUCGAUCUGUGAGGUGAGGACCUGUUAGCAGGAACCCCUCUUGCUUUGCUGAAAGUUUUAUUUUUCUUUUUGCCCUAUAAAACCCUGUUCUACUAACCCUUCAAUAUGUCUGCAUUCCUAAAUUUUCCUGGUCAUGUGACGAGAACCUAGGUUUUAGCUGAACUAAGGAGCAAAAUUCUGCAACAUAAAGUCAAAGAAAACUAUGCCUAUAUCCAUUAAAUCAAAUGUUAAAAAGCAAAUAUAAAGAAAAAGUCUUCACAGCCCUAGAGAAAAGUGAAACAUUGUACAUAAAGAAGUAAUAAUUUGAAUGGAUUGUCAGAAACCAUGACUAGAAGACAGAGGAGCAAUAUUUUCAAAUUUCAUAGAGAAAGGAAAAAAAG
Long non-coding RNA from Homo sapiens (human), 1573 nucleotides. Ensembl annotates it as p53 upregulated regulator of p53 levels. Its record names the gene PURPL. The record is from Ensembl. Lineage: Eukaryota; Metazoa; Chordata; Mammalia; Primates; Hominidae.